GGGCUCAUAGCUUAGCUAGGUAGAGCGUCGGACUCAUAAUCCGAUGGCCGCCGGUUCAAAUCCGGCUGGGCCCACCA
Molecule: transfer RNA, 77 nt
Filed under: Candidatus Methanomethylophilus alvi Mx1201
Lineage: Archaea; Methanobacteriati; Thermoplasmatota; Thermoplasmata; Methanomassiliicoccales; Methanomethylophilaceae
Also listed under: 2 other names
Description: tRNA-Ile2 (CAT) (tRNA-Ile2-CAT-1-1)
Rfam family: tRNA
About the family: Transfer RNA (tRNA) molecules are approximately 80 nucleotides in length. Their secondary structure includes four short double-helical elements and three loops (D, anti-codon, and T loops).
Source: RNAcentral